GAUGAACGCUAGCUACAGGCUUAACACAUGCAAGUCGCGGGGCAGCAUUUCUUAGCUUGCUAAGGAAGAUGGCGACCGGCGCACGGGUGAGUAACGCGUAUCCAACCUGCCCUUGUCCACGGGAUAACCCGGUGAAAAACCGGCCUAAUACCGUAUGAGGUCACAAGCGGACAUCCAACUGUGACGAAAGGUUUAGCGGACAAGGAUGGGGAUGCGUCCGAUUAGCUUGACGGCGGGUAACGGCCCACCGUGGCUACGAUCGGUAGGGGUUCUGAGAGGAAGGUCCCCCACAUUGGAACUGAGACACGGUCCAAACUCCUACGGGAGGCAGCAGUGAGGAAUAUUGGUCAAUGGGCGAGAGCCUGAACCAGCCAAGUAGCGUGCAGGAUGACGGCCCUAUGGGUUGUAAACUGCUUUUGUGCGGGGAUAAAGUGUGGGACGUGUCCCAUAUUGCAGGUACCGCAUGAAUAAGGACCGGCUAAUUCCGUG
RNAcentral lists this ribosomal RNA (489 nucleotides) under uncultured bacterium. RNAcentral describes it as "bacterial SSU rRNA". It matches the Rfam family "Bacterial small subunit ribosomal RNA", at positions 28 to 507 of the family's 1533-position model. The record is from RNAcentral.